GUCGCCGUGGCCGAGUGGUUAAGGCGAUAGACUUGAAAUCUUUUGGGAUUUUCCCGCGCAGGUUCGAAUCCUGCCGAAAACG
Molecule: transfer RNA, 82 nt
Filed under: Dreissena polymorpha
Lineage: Eukaryota; Metazoa; Mollusca; Bivalvia; Myida; Dreissenidae
Rfam family: tRNA
About the family: Transfer RNA (tRNA) molecules are approximately 80 nucleotides in length. Their secondary structure includes four short double-helical elements and three loops (D, anti-codon, and T loops). Further hydrogen bonds mediate the characteristic L-shaped molecular structure. tRNAs have two regions of fundamental functional importance: the anti-codon, which is responsible for specific mRNA codon recognition, and the 3' end, to which the tRNAs corresponding amino acid is attached (by aminoacyl-tRNA synthetases). tRNAs cope with the degeneracy of the genetic code in two manners: having more than one tRNA (with a specific anti-codon) for a particular amino acid; and 'wobble' base-pairing, i.e. permitting non-standard base-pairing at the 3rd anti-codon position.
Source: Rfam by way of RNAcentral